RNAcentral lists this ribosomal RNA (381 nucleotides) under Atrina pectinata. RNAcentral's name for it is "partial 16S ribosomal RNA". It matches the Rfam family "Bacterial large subunit ribosomal RNA", at positions 1867 to 2528 of the family's 2925-position model. The record is from RNAcentral. Lineage: Eukaryota; Metazoa; Mollusca; Bivalvia; Pterioida; Pinnidae.
UGCCCUUGAUAGGGGUAAACAGCCGCUGUAUUUUGACGGUGCUAAGGUAGCGAAAUUCCUAGCCUUUUAAUUGGAGGCCUGCAUGAAUGGUUUGACGAGCGCCCGACUGUCUCUUUUUCGUGUAUUUUGAAAUUAGCUUCUGUGUGAAAAGACACAGAUGGUUGAGUAAGACGAAAAGACCCUGUGCAACUUUACUAGGAAAGUGGGUUAAAUAUUAUAAAGUUUAGCUGGGGCAGCAGGGGAAAAACUAAAACUUCCCUAUUUAAGGUUUACUGAUGGGUUUUGAUCCAAUUGUUAGAUUGCUCGAUAGAAAAGUUACGCCAGGGAUAACAGCGUUAUCCUUCUGUGGAGGUCUUAUUUGCAGGGGGGAUUGCGACCUCG